This 1202-nucleotide long non-coding RNA is filed under the name Mus musculus (house mouse). RNAcentral's name for it is "predicted gene, 48845". Lineage: Eukaryota; Metazoa; Chordata; Mammalia; Rodentia; Muridae. The record is from RNAcentral.
GGGGAGAGGGAGUGGGGAGAACAGUUGUGGCAGAGCUGAUACUGAAGCUGGAAGCUGAGAUCCACAAGUACCCUGAGGAUGCCCAGGGCUUCUGCUUCAAGUUCUACAGCCCAUGCUGGAGAAAACACAAACCCAGCGUCCAAGAGUCUUGCAACAGCAUAAGACUUUCCAGCUGCAGCAGAGCAAAGGAGGAAGGGAGAAAGGGUGACUUCACAUAUGCUAGGAUGGCUGCGGGGGACCUUGAGGAUGGAUGCUUGCGGGAAUGAGAGCUUUUGGAAUUCCCCAGAGGAAGCAGCUGCCUUCUUCCAAGCCCCAGGAAGCAGCUCAGUGCAUGGGAGGCUUCCUUGGGGUUCUCCCUCCAUCCUUGGUGGCAGGAUUUGCCCUUCAGGUUCAUCCAUUUCCUGGGGAUUAUCUCUGCAUAAUUACUCUGUGAUCCAAAUAGUUGAUUAGAGACACUCCAGUCCUCUCUUUGUCAACAUGGUACGCUUGUGGCUGCCAAACAUGACAGCUUUUUUAAAUUAUUAAAAUGUUUGCAGUGGUAGCAUUUAAAAUGAAUUUCAGGGCAGUGAUAGUCACAUUGUGAGAAAGUCAUAUGUGUCUAUGUGAGAAAGUAUUCCCCCUUGUGAUUUCCCCUUUGUCCCAAAGAUUCGUUCAAAGCACAUCUAACUGUAGAACUGCACCAAAGUUUGCAGAAGUUUCUUGACCUUAUCUCUGUGGACUGAUGAGAGUAUGGUUUGUGUAGCUGUGAGUGUGUGUGUGUGUGUGUGUGUGUGUAGAGGAGACACUACCCAAAUUCCCAUCAUUCCAUGUCUACUUUGCUUUGUCAACUCCAGAGUCACCAAAUCCAAAGGCCGCUUAGCAUAUGCUAUGGAUAGUUUGAAUGUUUGUUUCCCAAGGCUCAUCUGGUAACUUCCUCACUCUAUAAGGAUAUGGCCUUUGGGAAGUGGGACUAGUAUCUUUAUGGGAGACAUCAGAGAGGUCCCUCAUCUCUCUGACAUGUGACAUUAGAGUGAGAAGAUGAGGAAGAGGGUCUUCACCAGCCACAGACUCUGCUGAGAACUUGAUCUUUAACUUCUUAGCAUCUAGAACUAUGAACGGUAAAUUUCUGUUAUGUAAAAAUUGACCCAAUCUGUGUAUUUUGGUAUUUUGUGAUGGCGGUCUGAAGUGAGUAAUUCAGUACAUACCACUGGUAUGUGAAACCU